GACGAACGCUGGCGGCGUGCUUAACACAUGCAAGUCGAACGGAAAGGCCCUGCGUUUGUGGGGUGCUCGAGUGGCGAACGGGUGAGUAACACGUGAGUAACCUGCCCUUGACUUUGGGAUAACUUCAGGAAACUGGGGCUAAUACCGGAUAGGAGCCCCCGCUGCAUGGUGGGGGUUGGAAAUUUUCGGCGGUUGGGGAUGGACUCGCGGGUGAUCAGCUUGUUGGUGGGGUAGUGGCUUACCAAGGCUUUGACGGGUAGCCGGCCUGAGAGGGUGACCGGCGACAUUGGGACUGAGAUACGGCCCAGACUCCUACGGGAGGCAGCAGUGGGGAAUAUUGCACAAUGGGCGGAAGUCUGAUGCAGCAACGCCGCGUGCGGGAUGACGGCCUUCGGGUUGUAAACCGCUUUCGCCUGUGACGAAGCGUGAGUGACGGUAAUGGGUAAAGAAGCACCGGCUAACUACGUG
RNAcentral lists this ribosomal RNA (468 nucleotides) under uncultured bacterium. Its description in RNAcentral is "partial 16S ribosomal RNA". It matches the Rfam family "Bacterial small subunit ribosomal RNA", at positions 28 to 507 of the family's 1533-position model. The record is from RNAcentral.